This 236-nucleotide long non-coding RNA is filed under the name Elaeis guineensis (African oil palm). RNAcentral's name for it is "long non-coding RNA (EGUI_LNC009180)". The record is from RNAcentral. Lineage: Eukaryota; Viridiplantae; Streptophyta; Magnoliopsida; Arecales; Arecaceae.
UCUACUGAGCAUACAUAGGAUGUGCUAGUUUUUUCGGAACAUCGAUCCCGAUUCAAUGUCCCUGGAACUAGGAAUGUUCUAAAUCAGGAUUUUAGGGUUUUAGGUCUCAUAGGUAUGAUCUCAUCAUAGCCCUAAAACUAUUGUCCUGAUCUAUGGGAUUCAUCAUGAUCUUAAUCAAAAACAUAAGAUGCAGCACAUGUACCUUUUAUUAAUAUAAAAUGUCAUUUACAUAAGUC